This 205-nucleotide ribosomal RNA is filed under the name uncultured bacterium. RNAcentral describes it as "partial 16S ribosomal RNA". It matches the Rfam family "Bacterial small subunit ribosomal RNA", at positions 30 to 236 of the family's 1533-position model. The record is from RNAcentral.
AUUGAACGCUGGCGGUAUGCUUAACACAUGCAAGUCGAGCGGUAACAGGCCCUUCGGGUGCUGACGAGUGGCGGACGGGUGAGUAAUGCUUAGGAAUCUGCCUAGUAGUGGGGGAUAACCCGGGGAAACUCGGGCUAAUACCGCAUACGCCCUACGGGGAAAGGCGGGGACGUUUCGGGCCUCGCGCUAUUAGAUGAGCCUAAGU